UGAUCUAAGAGGCACUUGCCGCUAGCCAGAACCUUCCACCAGCUUCUACUUCUACGUGGAUAGCAGCUAAAAUGUUCUUUCUUUAAAAGAAAAAAAAAAGAAACACCACACACACACACACACACACACACACCUGGUCUGAUUCCUCCUGACUCAGAUUUCUGGAGGUAAAUAUGCCUCUUGGCCUCCUCCCAAGUUACUACUAGUCCAACCCCUAGACGGUAAUUGUUUUUCUUCCCUGGUAAGUGAAAGCUUGUCAAAACCUUUCACCACAUAGACUUCUGCGUAGAUGACAGGGGCACCUAGAUGUCCGUUUAAACCCAAACAAAAUCACAAAGAGAAAGAGAGGAAGCAAAACUAUGGGUUGUUUCCUUCUUCCCCCAAAUUUCCUGAGGGAAAUCAAUGUAUGUGUUGGACCAAAAUUGAAUGCAUUUUUAAUAAUGUGGAGUUUUCCAAAAGAAGGAGUCACUAUAAUUUGAGUCAUGGAACAAUGAGCUGGUGAAGAAAUAUUUUGAAAAAUGGUGGAACACGGAGAGAUGUUUUCAUGUUUAUCUGAAUGGCUCUCUGUGUAUUAAGAGUGCAAAAAUGGCAAAUUAGAAGCUGGGAUCUUUUUCGUCAAAACUGUCCACAAACAAGAUGAUUUCUUGGGGCUAAUUUCCAUUCAGGGAUAGUGAGAGUUAUUUUAAACGACCAAAGCCAUUUCAGAAGGGUAAGAGCAUGUCAAC
This 725-nucleotide long non-coding RNA is filed under the name Pan paniscus (pygmy chimpanzee). RNAcentral describes it as "lncRNA (ENSPPAG00000044681.1)". The record is from RNAcentral. Lineage: Eukaryota; Metazoa; Chordata; Mammalia; Primates; Hominidae.